RNAcentral lists this long non-coding RNA (1026 nucleotides) under Oncorhynchus mykiss (rainbow trout). Its description in RNAcentral is "lncRNA (ENSOMYG00000055083.1)". The record is from RNAcentral. Lineage: Eukaryota; Metazoa; Chordata; Actinopteri; Salmoniformes; Salmonidae.
AUGGUGUCAGGGUGGUCUGUUACAGGGUGGGGUCUGGCCCGGCAUGGUGUCAGGGUGGUCUGUUACAGGGUGGGGUCUGGCCCGGCAUGGUGUCAGGGUGGUCUGUUACAGGGUGGGGUCUGGCCCGGCAUGGUGUCAGGGUGGUCUGUUACAGGGUGGGGUCUGGCCCGGCAUGGUGUCAGGGUGGUCUGUUACAGGGUGGGGUCUGGCCCGGCAUGGUGUCAGGGUGGUCUGUUACAGGGUGAGGUCUGGCCCGGCAUGGUGUCAGGGUGGUCUGUUACAGGGUGGGGUCUGGCCCGGCAUGGUGUCAGGGUGGUCUGUUACAGGGUGGGGUCUGGCCCGGCAUGGUGUCAGGGUGGUCUGUUACAGGGUGGGGUCUGGCCCGGCAUGGUGUCAGGGUGGUCUGUUACAGGGUGGGGUCUGGCCCGGCAUGGUGUCAGGGUGGUCUGUUACAGGGUGGGGUCUGGCCCGGCAUGGUGUCAGGGUGGUCUGUUACAGGGUGGGGUCUGGCCCGGCAUGGUGUCAGGGUGGUCUGUUACAGGGUGGGGUCUGGCCCGGCAUGGUGUCAGGGUGGUCUGUUACAGGGUGGGGUCUGGCCCGGCAUGGUGUCAGGGUGGUCUGUUACAGGGUGGGGUCUGGCCCGGCAUGGUGUCAGGGUGGUCUGUUACAGGGUGGGGUCUGGCCCGGCAUGGUGUCAGGGUGGUCUGUUACAGGGUGGGGUCUGGCCCGGCAUGGUGUCAGGGUGGUCUGUUACAGGGUGGGGUCUGGCCCGGCAUGGUGUCAGGGUGGUCUGUUACAGGGUGGGGUCUGGCCCGGCAUGGUGUCAGGGUGGUCUGUUACAGGGUGGGGUCUGGCCCGGCAUGGUGUCAGGGUGGUCUGUUACAGGGUGGGGUCUGGCCCGGCAUGGUGUCAGGGUGGUCUGUUACAGGGUGGGGUCUGGCCCGGCAUGGUGUCAGGGUGGUCUGUUACAGGGUGAAAAAAAACGAAAAUUCAGUAAUCAAAACGCCAAACUUUUUUCCAAAUUAA